GACCAAGGAGUCUAACACGUGCGCGAGUCGCAGGGUUGUACGAAACCCGAAGGCGCAACGAAAGUGAACCGAAUCUCACGACUCGGUAGGUGGGAUCCCGUCGUUUCGCUUCGCGGCGAAGCGCGGGCGCACCACCGGCCUGUCUCGGCCGCGACGUCGGCGAGGCGGAGCAAGAGCGUACGCGUUGGGACCCGAAAGAUGGUGAACUAUGCCUGAGGAGGAUGAAGCCAGAAGAAAUUCUGGUGGAGGUCCGCAGCGAUUCUGACGUGCAAAUCGAUCGUCAAACUUGGGUAUAGGGGCGAAAGACUAAUCGAACCAUCUAGUAGCUGGUUCCCGUCGAAGUUUCCCUCAGGAUAGCUGGCGCUCAUUUGGAGCAGUUUUAUCCGGUAAAGCGAAUGAUUAGAGGCCUUGGGGACGUACAGACCUCAACCUAUUCUCAAACUUUAAAUGGGUAAGACGUCCGUCUCACUUGAUUGGAGUCGGACACGUUCGAAUGCGAGUGCCAAGUGGGCCAUUUUU
RNAcentral lists this ribosomal RNA (519 nucleotides) under Limnobdella mexicana. Its description in RNAcentral is "eukaryotic LSU rRNA". It matches the Rfam family "Eukaryotic large subunit ribosomal RNA", at positions 664 to 1138 of the family's 3401-position model. Lineage: Eukaryota; Metazoa; Annelida; Clitellata; Hirudinida; Hirudinidae. The record is from RNAcentral.